Molecule: ribosomal RNA, 332 nt
Filed under: Podonomopsis muticus
Lineage: Eukaryota; Metazoa; Arthropoda; Insecta; Diptera; Chironomidae
Description: eukaryotic LSU rRNA
Rfam family: Eukaryotic large subunit ribosomal RNA
Source: RNAcentral
UCCGAUCAACAACGGUUAAAUUUGGGAUACCUUUGGGACCCGUCUUGAAACACGGACCAAGGAGUCUAUCUAGUGUGCGAGUAAAUGGGAACAUAUGAAACCUAUUUGCGUAAAUAACUUGACUGUUAUGGGAUUACGAGCGCGUGUGUGCAAGCGCCGCGUUCCUCCAUCCCGGGGUAUUUUCAUCACAUGUACCGCUCUCGGGUGGMCCACMUGGAAAAUAUACCAUGAGCAUACUGGAUAUGACCCGAAAGAUGGUGAACUAUGCCUGAUCAGGYUGAAGUCAGGGGAAACCCUGAUGGAGGACCGAAGCAAUUCUGACGUGCAAAUCG